This 341-nucleotide ribosomal RNA is filed under the name uncultured bacterium. Its description in RNAcentral is "partial 16S ribosomal RNA". It matches the Rfam family "Bacterial small subunit ribosomal RNA", at positions 338 to 696 of the family's 1533-position model. The record is from RNAcentral.
CCUACGGGCGGCAGCAGUGGGGGAUAUUGCACAAUGGGGGGAACCCUGAUGCAGCGACGCCGCGUGGGUGAAGGAGCGUUUCGGCGCGUAAAGCCCUAUCGGCAGGGAAGAAGAUGACGGUACCUGACCAAGAAGCCCCGGCUCACUGCGUGACAGCAGCCUCGGCAAUACGGAGGGGGCAAGCGUUAUCCGGAUUUACUGGGUGUAAAGGGGGAGUAGGAGGGGAUGCAAGCCAGGAGUGAAAGCGCGUGGCCCAACCACGGGACUGAUGUUGGAACUGGAAGACGUGAGUGUAGGAGAGGCAGGCGGAAUGCGGGGUGUAGCGGUGAAAUGCAGAGAUA